CCAGAGAACUUUCCAGAGAUGGAUUGGUGCCUUCGGGAACUCUGAGACAGGUGCUGCAUGGCUGUCGUCAGCUCGUGUUGUGAAAUGUUGGGUUAAGUCCCGCAACGAGCGCAACCCUUAUCCUUUGUUGCCAGCGGUUAGGCCGGGAACUCAAAGGAGACUGCCAGUGAUAAACUGGAGGAAGGUGGGGAUGACGUCAAGUCAUCAUGGCCCUUACGAGUAGGGCUACACACGUGCUACAAUGGCGCAUACAAAGAGAAGCGACCUCGCGAGAGCAAGCGGACCUCAUAAAGUGCGUCGUAGUCCGGAUUGGAGUCUGCAACUCGACUCCAUGAAGUCGGAAUCGCUAGUAAUCGUGGAUCAGAAUGCCACGGUGAAUACGUUCCCGGGCCUUGUACACACCGCCCGUCACACCAUGGGUGUGGGUUGCAAAAGAAGUAGGUAGCUUAACCUUCGGGAGGGCGCUUACCACUUUGUGAUUCAUGACUGGGGUGAAGUCGUAACAAGGUAAGCGUAGUGCU
This 521-nucleotide ribosomal RNA is filed under the name uncultured bacterium. RNAcentral's name for it is "bacterial SSU rRNA". It matches the Rfam family "Bacterial small subunit ribosomal RNA", at positions 988 to 1509 of the family's 1533-position model. The record is from RNAcentral.